ACUAACAUUCUUGUGUUGCCUGUCAAUGAUUAAUUGCAACGUAUAUGAACGCAUAUUCAAGCGUUUUGAUGAAGAUGGUGAUGGGAAACUCUCUCCUUCGGAGCUUCGACGCUGCGUGGGGACGAUAGGGGAGGAACUACUGACGGAGGAGGCUCAGGAGGUGGUGGAGUCGAUGGAUUCGGACGGGGAUGGGUUGCUGGGAUUGGAGGAAUUUGUGGGGUGGAUGGAGAGAGAGGAUGAAGAGAGAAAGAUGGAGGAGUUGAGAGAGGCCUUUGGGAUGUACGAGAUGGAUGGGAGUGGGUGUAUCACUCCCAAGAGCUUGAAGAGGAUGCUGAGCAGAUUGGGGGAGUCACGAAGUGUGGAGGAGUGC
This 370-nucleotide long non-coding RNA is filed under the name Vitis vinifera (wine grape). Its description in RNAcentral is "long non-coding RNA (VVIN_LNC000267)". Lineage: Eukaryota; Viridiplantae; Streptophyta; Magnoliopsida; Vitales; Vitaceae. The record is from RNAcentral.